RNAcentral lists this long non-coding RNA (342 nucleotides) under Mus musculus (house mouse). RNAcentral's name for it is "long non-coding RNA chrX:88388558-88388900". Lineage: Eukaryota; Metazoa; Chordata; Mammalia; Rodentia; Muridae. The record is from RNAcentral.
GAAGGUUCCAAAAGCACAGUAGUCACUGGUGUUGACAUUCUCAUGAACCAUUACUUAUAAGAAACCAGCUUCACAAAAAAACCCUACAAAAAGUACAUCAGAGACUACAUGAAAUCACUCAAAGGCAAACUUGAAGAACAGAAACCAGAAAAAGUAAAGCCUUUUAUGACUGGAGCUGCAGAGCAAAUUAAGCACAUCCUUGCUAAUUUCAAGAACUACCAGUUUUUUAUUGGUGAAAACAGGAAUUCAGAUGGUAUGGUUGCUCUCUUGGACUACCAUGAAGAUGCUGUAACUCUAUUCAUGAUUCUCUUUAAGGAUAGUUUAGAGAUGGAAAAAUGUUAA